GGUUUUCUCGGGAGUGUCGUUGUACUCUCCAGCAUCGUCAGGCAAUUCCCACUCAGGGUGGCCAGCCUUCGCCGCUGCUGCUUUGAAGUCUGCUUCCAGGUACUUAUCAUAACACUGCAGAUUAUUUUUGUUUUAGUUAAAACAGUUAAUUGGAGCCCUUUUGUCUUUACUUGUUAUGGUAUUAUUUUUGCAUCCGUUUUAAUUCAUGCCUGUCUGUUUAGUUGGAUGUACAUUUGAUGUCCACUGCUUUUACCGUUUAAUUGUGGGACCAUGGUCUUAUGUUUGCUUCUGAUACUUUGCUCAAAAGAAGAGCAUGAUCUCUCAAAAGCCAUGAGUAGUAUUAAUUUGAAAUUGCCAUUUUAUCCAACGCCGCUUAUGAUCAGAAUCACUUUACCAUUGGGUGAACCUUUUUCAGUGCAAAUCGUCUCUUGGACAAAGAUUAAACUGCCUUUGGUCAUCACAUGUUACAUGUAUAUACGAGGAUUUUGUAAGAACAGAAGAGUAUUUGGGAAAACACUCACGAUGAAUUCUCCGAUGCCUGGGAAGACCCAUCCUUGGCUCUGAGGAUACGAUGGGUACCUCAUCUCUCCAGCUGGGCCAAGUCCCACUUCAAUGUCCACGAUGGUACCGGCAUCCAAGAACUUCUUCAUGUUUUCCCUGAAGCUCGCCAUGUAAUCAGCAUACAUCUGUAGCAGCCACAAAGAAGGAUCAAAGCUUUGCUACCAUGAGCACACUGGGGCUACCAAAAUCACAACUAUGCUGUUGCCAAGACUCAUCUCAGUCAUCUGAAUCACCAUAUAUGCAGGAGAACUGGAAUGGUGAUCUAGCUUAGCUAACCUGGACGGCAGUUCUUCCAUGGAAGAGAGGCUGGUCGUCCACUCCAAGGGUGAGGUACUCGAUGUUCCUCGUCCCGCCGCGGUUGGUGUAGAAAAUGUCGGGGUCGGUGGCGCCGACGUCGCGAACCCACUGUGGGAUGGGGAUGUUGACGACG
Molecule: long non-coding RNA, 991 nt
Filed under: Triticum aestivum (bread wheat)
Lineage: Eukaryota; Viridiplantae; Streptophyta; Magnoliopsida; Poales; Poaceae
Description: long non-coding RNA (TAES_LNC023949)
Source: RNAcentral